Molecule: long non-coding RNA, 231 nt
Filed under: Carica papaya (papaya)
Lineage: Eukaryota; Viridiplantae; Streptophyta; Magnoliopsida; Brassicales; Caricaceae
Description: long non-coding RNA (CPAP_LNC015643)
Source: RNAcentral
AAGACGACGCUGCAAGAACUCACGAAAUAGAAGCACAAGUGAAGGAAAAGCAAGAAAAGACAGAGAAAGCAAAAGUGGAAUACUCAGGAAUCAUCAAACAGAGAAACAGAAAAGAAGAACCCAAGGAAGAAAAAAAUCCAAUGGAAACAGAAAAAAAUGGGAUAGAGAAGAGAGAGAGAGAGAGAGAGAGAGAGAGGGGGGGGGGGCGAAGGGUUGUGUUUUGAAUGAAAU